Molecule: long non-coding RNA, 5589 nt
Organism: Homo sapiens (human)
Lineage: Eukaryota; Metazoa; Chordata; Mammalia; Primates; Hominidae
Source: Ensembl
CAUUUGGAGAAACACCGCAAUAUUUCAUAAAGAUGAAAAUUUAUUUCUAGUGAACUUAUACGCUUGUCAAUAAAUAGUAACUUUAAAAAUUUAGUUGAUUGUAAAUGAUCUUUUCUAAUUAGGGAGUAAUUAUGACUGUGUGAUUUAAAAAGGUAAUUUUGAACCUGUAACUUUACUGAAUUAUCUCUGGUAUCCUUUUUUAUAAUAUAUAUUAGAGUGAAUAGUAACAAAAACUUUAGCAGAAUAUUCUUUCCUUACUACUUUUCAAGUAUAUGCAUUCUUUUGAAGAUGUUGAAGUGAGAAAUUAAAUAUCUGAGAACUGCAAAGGAAAAAUAAUCCAGAACAUAGAAAUUUUAUUAGGAUAAUAAACAUCUGCAGAGGUAUAUCACAGGAUGAACUCUUUAUUUUUUAACAAAAUGAAUUUUAAGAUAAAUGUCUUUAUCUGCAGAUGCACCUUAAAACAAGAAAAUGAAGAAAAAACAAAUGUUAAUAUGCUGUACAAAAAAAAUAGAGAAGAAUUAGAAAGGAAAGAGAAACAAUAUAAGAAAGAAGUUGAAGCAAAACAACUUGAACCAACUGUUCAGUCACUAGAGAUGAAAUCAAAGACUGCAAGAAAUACUCCAAAUCGGGAUUUUCAUAAUCAUGAAGAAACGAAAGGUCUGAUGGAUGAAAAUUGCAUUUUGAAGGCAGAUAUUGCCAUACUCAGACAGGAAAUAUGUACAAUGAAAAAUGACAACUUGGAAAAAGAAAAUAAAUAUCUUAAGGACAUUAAAAUUGUUAAAGAAACAAAUGCUGCCCUUGAAAAGUAUAUAAAACUCAAUGAGGAAAUGAUAACAGAAACAGCAUUCCGGUAUCAACAAGAGCUUAAUGAUCUCAAGGCUGAGAAUACAAGGCUCAAUGCCGAACUGUUGAAGGAAAAAGAAAGCAAGAAAAGACUGGAAGCUGACAUUGAAUCUUAUCAGUCUAGACUGGCUGCUGCUAUAGGUAAACACAGUGAAAGUGUGAAAACAGAAAGAAACGUAAAACUUGCUUUAGAGAGAACACAAGAUGUUUCUGUACAAGUAGAAAUGAGUUCUGCUAUUUCCAAAGUAAAAGAUGAGAAUGAGUUUCUUACUGAACAACUUUCUGAAACACAAAUUAAAUUCAAUGCCUUAAAAGAUAAGUUCCGUAAGACAAGAGAUAGUCUCAGAAAAAAGUCAUUGGCUUUAGAAACUGUACAAAAUGACCUAAGAAAAACACAGCAGCAAACACAGGAAAUGAAAGAGAUGUAUCAAAAUGCAGAAGCUAAAGUGAAUAAUUCCACUGGAAAGUGGAACUGUGUAGAAGAGAGGAUAUGUCACCUCCAACGUGAAAAUGCGUGGCUUGUACAGCAACUAGAUGACGUUCAUCAGAAAGAGGAUCAUAAAGAGAUAGUAACUAAUAUCCAAAGAGGCUUUAUUGAGAGUGGAAAGAAAGACCUCGUACUAGAAGAGAAAAGUAAGAAGCUAAUGAAUGAAUGUGAUCAUUUAAAAGAAAGUCUCUUUCAGUAUGAGAGAGAGAAAGCAGAAGGAGUAGUAAGUAUCAAGGAAGAUAAAUAUUUUCAAACUUCUAGAAAGAAAAUUUAAACAUUUGGUUCUGGAUACAUGUUGAACUUAGUUGAAUAUAAAAAUCUAGAUAAAAAGUGUGUUUACCAUACUGUAUAAUUCCAUUUACAUGAAGCAUCCAGAAAAGAUAAAUGUAUAGGGACAAAAAGUAGAUUAAUGUUUGCAAGGGGCUGGGGCUGGAAGCUGGUAGUGACUGCUAAUGGGCAUGAGGAAUCUUACAGUGAUGGAAAUGCUCUAAAGUUGGAUUGUAGAGAUGGCUGCACAACUCAGUAAAUGUACUAAAAAUCUUUUAACUUUAAGUCAAAACAGAUACAUUCUAUAGUAUGUAAAUUAUAUUUCAACAAAGCUGUUUUAAUAAAAAAGGAAAAAUGUUUACUAUAUCGGCUUAGAAACAUGCCUCAUUUCUAGGAAAUAAAAGAGGUGAGAGAUGAUUUACUUUGAGAAAAGACAUUGUGUCACCUAUGAAAUUUUAUUAGGCACAGAGUCAUAUUUUAAGGUAGAUAGUUCUGUACUGCUGAAAUAGUAAUUUUAAUGUCUUUAUAUUGCCACAUGUUAAGACCAUAAUGUAGUUAUAAAUGGAAAUGUUUACACCUGAAGUAUUUUCAAAUUAAAAUUUAAUUAAGUGAUUUUCUUCGACACUUAAUUCUAGAUUCCCCAGAUGAAUUGAAGUGUAUUGCUGUGUCUUGUAGUACCUUGCUUUAACUAGCUUUUUAUGUAUUUUAGUUGGUAUAGCUUUGUUAUUAUUCAUAUUAAUUUAACAAAUCUGAAAAUAUGUCAAAUUACGUAUUUUUAUGACCACGUAAUGUUUUAAAGGCACCUACUUGUUAUAAAAUCAUAAUUUAGGAGAAAUGUGGUAAAACUUAGCAAAACUAUAUUUGGUUUAGUCUUCCCACUGGUAUUUAUAGUUUACUUUGAAUAUUUAUAUUAAUAAUUAGGUCAUAAUUUUUAUUUCAAGGCUCAAUGACUGUCAUUGGAAUAUAAUUUUGUUCAGUACAAAGAUACUUGUAGCUGUCUGUGAUUUACGAGUUAGGCAUUACAUCUCCAUUUUCAGACUGAGGGGUGGCAGGCUUCACAUACAGUGGGAAUGGAGUAAUUACAGGAGGGAGUUGUAGGAGCUUUGAAGUCAGAGAGGGAGGUAGAGGCCUUUUUACCUAGGGCCUCAAAGGCCAUUGGAAUUUUACUUUUAUUCUGAGAUAGGAAUCUGUUGGAAGGAUUUGAACAGGUGAUUGAAUAUGUUAGGAACUUUGAGGCUGAGUUGAGCUUCUGAGAUGAUUGAAUGUUGGAAUGAAUCUGUUGUGUAAGUAAGAGAAUACCAAUUUGGCAGGAAGAGAACAUAUUCUGCAUCCCUCACUGAAUUCAGUAAUACAUAAAAAUGUGUACAUGUGAUUAAAAGAAGGUGAAUUGAUAUGUGUGGUGAUAAUUUUCAAAGUAGAUAUGUUAGAAUUAAACAUUAUUAACAUAAUUUAAUAAUAAGGCAAUUUAUAAAAUCAGUAACAAAAAUAUUUUAUCAGGUGGUUGUGAGACAACUUCAACAAGAAGUGGCUGACAGCGUAAAAAAAUUAACAACGUUAGAGUCUCCACUGGAAGGUAUAUCACAUUGUCACAUUAAUUUGGAUGAGACACAGGCCUCAAAGAAGAAAUUAUUUCAAGUGGAAAGUCAAGUAUGUAUGGAAUUUAACAUGUCAACAGUUAUUCUGUAGCUAGUUGAAUUAUAUAACAUGUUUUAGGAUACUAAUUUUGGCAGAAGCUUGAUUUUUUAUUUUCAUUAUAAUGAAUGAUUUCCAUUUUACUAUCUUUAUAAUUAUUUUUUUAUGUUGUGACUUUCAUUCUACCAUUUUGAAAAACCAUUGCAUACCUUUUCUCUUACAAUAUGUACCCUUGGAAAAGUUGAGAAUUAUACAUCAUUCCUCAUAGAAAAUUGACUUUUUUCCUGUUAAACAGUAUUUUUAAGUAAUUUUUGUAUUUCUCUGAUGAGGCAGGCCAGAUUAAAUCAGAGGAGAAUGUUUCAUGGAAUGUUCCAGAAAAUUGUCUUAUUUCUUCACUUUUGUGAAUGGACACAGAAUCUGUGUCUAUUUGUUUCACAGAUUCUAGGUUAACUUGUACAGAAAGGCCGUUAUACUAUUCUUUGAAAUGUGCAUGUUUUAGGUUAAUUUACAAACUAUUUGAAAAGUUAGGCAUUUUCUUUAUCUAUCUUUUAUUUAAAAUAUACUGUAAAACUGUAGAAAUAUUUAGAUUUGAUAUAGCAUGUACAUCAAAAAUUAAGAGUUGAGAAAAUUAUCUUGAUCCUGCCUUUGGAUUUUAAAAAAUUCACUGAGAUGUCAUUCACGUAUCAGACAGUUCAACCAUUUAAAAUGUACAACUCAGUAUCUAUUAGUAUGUUCACAGCAUUUUCAUCACCCUGAAAAGUGACCCCACAUCUCCUAGGCAUGACUGCAGCCUUCCUCCAUGUCCCUCCACCUACCCCUGUUGUAGGCAACCACUGUCUACUUUUGUCUCCAUAUGUUUGCCUGUUCUGCAUGUUUCAUAUACAUAGAGUUAUACAAUAUGUAUACAUAUACAAUAUGUAUAUGUAUACUUUGGGACUGGCUUUUUCACUUAGCAUAAUGUUUUUAGAAUUCAUGCAUGUUUUAGCACACAUUCAUAGUUUAUUUCUUCUUAUAGUUAAAUGAUAUUCUAUUCCAUGGCUAUACUGGUUUUCCAUUCAUUCAUCAGUUGAUGGACCUUUAGGUUAGUUUCCACUUUUUAGCUAUUAUGAAAAAUGCUGCUGUGAACAUUCACUUACAGGUUAUUAUGUGGACACAGGUUUUUAUUUCCCUGCCAUUGGACUUUAUCCUCAGAGUUAACUGGGCAGAUUUCAGCACUUGUCUUGCUCAUGCUAUCCUUUCUGCCUUCUCAGUUUCUGUUCAUCUAGCCUCAUUCAUUCAGACCUGGCAGACAAUUUUUUUGUUUUCAUGAAGCUUUCUCUGACUGUUCUCUCAUUGACCUUAUGUGUUAGCAAUCGUUGUCUAGUCUGUGCUGAAAAACUUAGUCCUUAAUUUUACAUGGCUUUUUUUUUUAUGGAAGAUAAUUUUCUCUCAUUAUAAAUUUGCUUAAUGGGGGAAUAAUAUAUAAUAUGUAUGCCACCUAUCCUUGCAUACAUUGAAAAUAUUUUAGCUUAGAGGUUUGUAGCAUACAAUUCAAUCCUUUAUACCAUACCAAUUAUUUCUUCUUUGAGACCUUGACACAGUAAGGUUAUAUUCUAAAUGUAUUUUUAGCAAUUAAAUAUCAAAUCUAACCCAAUUAGUCUAACACAGGAGAUGCGUUCAAUCACGUGUUUAUGUUUUUCUCUCUAUGAAAAAGAAUCUCAAUUGGCCUUUUUUCACUAUGUAGCCAUUACUGUGUUUCUGGAUUGCUCCCAGUCUGUCAGCUGAACAGUUCUGGGUGCAGCUUGUCUGAUGAAGGAUAGCACAGCCCCUCAAUCUCAGUACUCAGCAGAGUGCUUGUGAAGGCAGCACCACAGCAACAGUUGCUCAGAGUGAACGGAUUCAGGAGCCUUGACUUAGCAAUAGAGUCCAGGGUUUUCAGCUCAGUGUCUUUAGCCUGUCUCUGCUGGUCAUGUCAGUUACAUACUAUUCCAUCCAGGAGGUGCUAUUUACAUUGUAGUACAUACAUAGUCAUUGCCUAAUGAGUCAUACAGAGAGAAAAGUAAGUUAUAAAUUAUGUCCCCCAUUUGCUGCAACUCUCAGUGGUAAGAAUGAUUAAGUGCAGCUAUAGGAGAAUACUUCCAUUGGCAUGCCACCUGCGUAAAACACACAAUUUUGUUAAGAUAUACAAUAAAAUUAUUAUGCUAAUAGCAAAUAUUUUAUGUAGCUCACUAUGUUCCAUGUAGUCUUCUAAGUGCUUCAUGUUAGUCCCCAGUUAAACACCUGGUUUUGGAAGGCUGAGGCAGGAGGAUUGCUUGAGCCCAGGAGUUUGAGAGCAGCCAGAGCAAUAUAGUGAGACCCUGUCUCUAAAAAAAAAAAAAAAA